ACGUAGGACCCAAGCGUUAUCCGGAGUGACUGGGCGUAAAGAGUUGCGUAGGCGGUUCGUAGAGCGAAUAGUGAAAUCUGAUGGCUCAACCAUCAUCACAUUAUUCGAACUCACGAACUCGAGAAUGGUAGAGGUAGCUGGAAUUUCCUGUGUAGGAGUGAAAUCCGUAGAUAUAGGAAGGAACACCAAUGGCGUAGGCAGGCUACUGGACCAUUUCUGACGCUGAGGCACGAAAGCGUGGGGAGCGAACCGGA
This 254-nucleotide ribosomal RNA is filed under the name uncultured prokaryote. RNAcentral's name for it is "partial 16S ribosomal RNA". It matches the Rfam family "Bacterial small subunit ribosomal RNA", at positions 525 to 777 of the family's 1533-position model. The record is from RNAcentral.